UACGGAGGAGGCAAGCGUUAUCCGGAAUUAUUGGGCGUAAAGCGUCCGUAGGUGGGUUAUCAAGUCAGCUGUUAAAUAGUGAAGCUUAACUUCAUAAGGGCAGUUGAAACUGGUAGUCUAGAGUGCGGUAGGGGUAGAGGGAAUUUCCAGUGUAGCGGUGAAAUGCGUAGAUAUUGGAAAGAACACCGGUGGCGAAAGCGCUCUACUGGGCCUGCACUGACACUGAGGGACGAAAGCUAGGGGAGCGAAAGGG
This 253-nucleotide ribosomal RNA is filed under the name uncultured bacterium. RNAcentral's name for it is "partial 16S ribosomal RNA". It matches the Rfam family "Bacterial small subunit ribosomal RNA", at positions 524 to 776 of the family's 1533-position model. The record is from RNAcentral.